RNAcentral lists this ribosomal RNA (492 nucleotides) under uncultured bacterium. RNAcentral describes it as "partial 16S ribosomal RNA". It matches the Rfam family "Bacterial small subunit ribosomal RNA", at positions 29 to 507 of the family's 1533-position model. The record is from RNAcentral.
AGUGAACGCUGGCGGUAGGCCUAACACAUGCAAGUCGAACGGCAGCACAGUAAGAGCUUGCUCUUACGGGUGGCGAGUGGCGGACGGGUGAGGAAUACAUCGGAAUCUACUUUUUCGUGGGGGAUAACGUAGGGAAACUUACGCUAAUACCGCAUACGACCUACGGGUGAAAGCAGGGGAUCCUCGGACCUUGCGCGAUUGAAUGAGCCGAUGUCGGAUUAGCUAGUUGGCGGGGUAAAGGCCCACCAAGGCGACGAUCCGUAGCUGGUCUGAGAGGAUGAUCAGCCACACUGGAACUGAGACACGGUCCAGACUCCUACGGGAGGCAGCAGUGGGGAAUAUUGGACCAUGGGCGCAAGCCUGAUCCAGCCAUACCGCGUGGGUGAAGAAGGCCUUCGGGUUGUAAAGCCCUUUUGUUGGGAAAGAAAAGCAGCAGGUUAAUACCCCGCUGUUCUGACGGUACCCAAAGAAUAAGCACCGGCUAACUUCGUG